This 253-nucleotide ribosomal RNA is filed under the name uncultured bacterium. RNAcentral's name for it is "partial 16S ribosomal RNA". It matches the Rfam family "Bacterial small subunit ribosomal RNA", at positions 524 to 776 of the family's 1533-position model. The record is from RNAcentral.
UACGUAGGUGGCAAGCGUUGUCCGGAUUUAUUGGGUUUAAAGGGUGCGUAGGCGGCUUUGUAAGUCAGUGGUGAAAUAUGGCAGCUCAACUGUCAAGGUGCCAUUGAUACUGCAGAGCUUGAGUACAGAUGAUGUUGGCGGAAUAUGACAUGUAGCGGUGAAAUGCAUAGAUAUGUCAUAGAACACCGAUUGCGAAGGCAGCUGACAAAACUGUAACUGACGCUGAGGCACGAAAGUGUGGGGAUCAAACAGG